RNAcentral lists this long non-coding RNA (489 nucleotides) under Vigna radiata. RNAcentral's name for it is "long non-coding RNA (VRAD_LNC004270)". The record is from RNAcentral. Lineage: Eukaryota; Viridiplantae; Streptophyta; Magnoliopsida; Fabales; Fabaceae.
AUUUUUCACUUACAGACUCACGGUGCAUCAACAUUCUCUCUCACUUAAACUCUCCAAUCAACUCCUUCACAAAAUCCACACCAACCUUUUCUUCAUCCAAGGCCAACACGCUCCCUCCCUAAUUACUUGCAUAGAGUGCGUUGUGAGACCACACGGUCCCAAAGAUUCACAAAAAGAUUUCUCACUCUCCAUUCCAUACUUCUUUACGUAAUCCCCCUUCUUUUUUUUUUCCUCUGUAAAGAUCUAACUGCAUGGUUCACUCCACAUCAAGGCUUAGCAACUUCGUUAACAAAGAACCAUCCUAGCAAAACUCGAGACUAACCUAUCUUCAUUCUUCCACCAUUAUAUUUAUCUUCCUAUUUCUUUGAUUCACUAUCAUAUUCCAAGGUACCCAAGUAAAACAGAGGCAACUCCCCUUGUUGUAUGAAUCUCACAUUGCAACACCUACUUCUUCCUAGUUCACAUCAUUCAAGAGACCCAAUCUUUCUA